UUCGAGUGGCGGACGGGUGAGUAACGCGUGGGUAACCUGCCUUACACAGGGGGAUAACACCUGGAAACAGGUGCUAAUACCGCAUAAGCGCACAGGGCCGCAUGGCCCGGUGUGAAAAACUCCGGUGGUGUAAGAUGGACCCGCGUCUGAUUAGCUUGUUGGCGGGGUAGGGGCCCACCAAGGCGACGAUCAGUAGCCGGCCUGAGAGGGUGAACGGCCACAUUGGGACUGAGACACGGCCCAAACUCCUACGGGAGGCAGCAG
This 264-nucleotide ribosomal RNA is filed under the name uncultured bacterium. RNAcentral describes it as "partial 16S ribosomal RNA". It matches the Rfam family "Bacterial small subunit ribosomal RNA", at positions 90 to 354 of the family's 1533-position model. The record is from RNAcentral.